Haemonchus contortus (barber pole worm) is the source of this 75-nucleotide non-coding RNA. Lineage: Eukaryota; Metazoa; Nematoda; Chromadorea; Rhabditida; Trichostrongylidae. The record is from Rfam.
GGCCCAAAUUUGAGGUAGACUAGAAUAGUAGAAUCAGCCGGCUAUACAAAUCUACUCUACUUCAAGUUUGUGCCC